CAGUCGCCGCGGUAAUACGUAGGGUGCAAGCGUUAAUCGGAAUUACUGGGCGUAAAGCGUGCGCAGGCGGUUAUAUAAGACAGAUGUGAAAUCCCCGGGCUCAACCUGGGAACUGCAUUUGUGACUGUAUAGCUAGAGUACGGCAGAGGGGGAUGGAAUUCCGCGUGUAGCAGUGAAAUGCGUAGAUAUGCGGAGGAACACCGAUGGCGAAGGCAAUCCCCUGGGCCUGUACUGACGCUUAUGCACGAAAGCGUGGGGAGCAAACAGGAUUAGAUACCCGCGUAGUCCCUGUCUCUUAUAC
RNAcentral lists this ribosomal RNA (301 nucleotides) under uncultured bacterium. Its description in RNAcentral is "partial 16S ribosomal RNA". It matches the Rfam family "Bacterial small subunit ribosomal RNA", at positions 509 to 807 of the family's 1533-position model. The record is from RNAcentral.